CAGCAAUCAUCAUUUAAAUGUGCAAUCCACAUUUUUCUUUCCCUUAAAUUUCAGCAAUUGCAUUUCAAUAAUUCACAUAAAAAUUGUUGCAAAGCUUUAAAAUAAAAUAAUUGCAACGAUGAUUUUGUAAUGAAUACUGAUAUAAGCCCUUCCUUUUACAAAAAUGUAUACCAGUCUUCAAAAUGAUUAAAUAAAUACAAGUACUUUUCUCGAUUUACAAAUUACAAUAAAGAUGAUAUUGCUUCAAAUAAAUCAUUUAUAAUUUGGUUGAUUGGUACCCCAAACAGCUUGCUUGAUACACUAGAACGGGUCAGUUUUGCUAUUCAGCACUUGCCAUAGAGUUUUCACCAAAUCAUUCACCGUCGUUUUGUACCCUUCACCCAUCUGCAGGACACCAUGUUAUUAAAUAAAAGAUUGAUUAUUAAUUAAUCAAUUAGAUAUUGACAUAAUAAAGUAUUUAUGAACUUGUCAUGGACUGAGUAUGUCAAACAUCAAAGUUUAAAUGGAGUGGAAAUGUGGAAAUUAAUCUAUGAAGAAUGAGUAUAAUGUAAGCUUUUUAAUUACCACAUUGAGGAUAAGGUGUUUGUGCAAGAUCAAUGGAAUAUAAUGACCUAAGAUAGGCUCAAUAUAAUAAAGUAGUCUAAAUAGGUAAAGAUUACGAUGAGUUAGUUGUAUUAGAUAUUUUAAUAGAUACGUCACCUUGUUCUUGAAAGAUAUAAAGAGAUCAUUUUUGUGAUGAGUCAUUAUUCAAAUACUUAUGCUAUAAAUAAUAGGUUGGUUAUUGUAAUCAAUAUCAAAUGAAUGAAUGAAUAAAUUAGUUUGUUAGAUUAGUUUAGUUUUAGCUUAUUCUCUCUUUUAGAAUAUUAUCUCUCUCAUUUAUAAACAACCCAAAAGUUGUUCAUUACAUAACUAUUAUUAAUAUAAAAUAGAGUCAUA
This 936-nucleotide long non-coding RNA is filed under the name Medicago truncatula (barrel medic). RNAcentral describes it as "lncRNA gene12927". Lineage: Eukaryota; Viridiplantae; Streptophyta; Magnoliopsida; Fabales; Fabaceae. The record is from RNAcentral.